GAGGUUGGUGUCCGGUCCUGUACCGCUGUACGGCCGUACCCUCUAGGCACCCCCGCGCGCGUCCUACCUACACCACCGUCGGCGUCGUAUCAGGGCCCGGCCGGCCCUGUCUCACCGACGCCGCUUUUAUACAGCUCCCACCUCCACUCCUCUGCCCCUCUCGUCUCGUCUCGGCUUUGUAUAUAGCCCGGAAGCCUGCUUGCGCACAACAACAACUCUGCAUGACUCCACUAGUCCACCAUCCGCCGCCUCCCCUUGCGGGCUGCAAUGGACGGGGUAUUUGUGCUAGAGCUUUAGAGGCGCGCGGCGGGGGUGCGAGUGCGAGUGCGGCCGCCGACGCGCGGGCGAAGGAGGCAGCGGGAUGGGGCUGCUGUCGAACCGGGUGGAGCGGUCGGAGAUCAGGCCCGGCGACCACAUCUACACCUGGCGGGCCGUUUACGCCUACUCCCACCACGAUAACAGAGGUUUUUGACCCUCAUUUAGGAAGCUUAGACGACCCUUCUACAGUGUCACAACUGUGCUAUAGGGACAGUGUGUCUCCACAGUGAGUGCCUACUGUUGGCUGAUGCCAUGUUCUACUACUCCAACUCCAUAAAUUAAAGUGGUCCUUUAUGGUAAUUUAGUGAGGCCCAUAUCUUGGGAGGACAAGAUCUGGGUUCUGCUGCGCUACCUGCACCUGCACGAAAAGCUGCUCGAUUUGUUGGAACAACCCUGUUUGGCUUCUUCUCUUGCAUCAUACACCCUCUCUGGGCUCUGAAUUACUUUGCCAACUAAUAGCAUUUUUACAUGUUCCAGCAAAGCAAAUUAUCCAUUACUAAGAGAACAUCAGCAUGUUGUCCACACCAGGGCAAUAUGUAAAGCAAUGAUAUAUCGCUAACUGCCGUUUCGAAAUUCCUUUUCCGUUGCUUCUCAAGCAAUUUUCUCGUGUAUGUUCAGGCAUCUAUGUUGGAGGAAGCAAGGUGGUCCAUUUUACGCGAAAGAAAGAAACCGAAAGUUCAGAUUCAUCAGACUUCACCUCCAGCUUAAUCUCAGGGGUUCCGUCAGAGUGCCCAACAUUCCCUGACUGUGGAUUUCAGCUGCCCAGCAGUGGCGUCGUCCUCACUUGCUUGGACUGUUUCGUCCGCAGUGGCUCCCUCUACUGCUUCGAGUAUGGGGUGCCAUCUGCGGUUUUCCUUGCAAAGCUUCGUGGGGGGACCUGCACCACUGCCGAAUCAGACCCACCAGAGGUUGUCGUCCAUCGAGCCAUGUGCUUGCUCCAGAAGGGCUUUGGAAAUUACGAUAUCUUCGAGAAGAACUGUGAAGACUUUGCACUCUACUGCAAGACUGGGCUUCUACCGGUCGAGGAUCCUGGCAUUGGGACUAGUGGGCAAGCUUCUUCUGCCAUCGGUGUGCCGUUGGCAGCUCUUCUGUCCACCCCGUUCAAGCUUCUGGCUGCUGGCCCGCUUGGAAUGGCCACCGUCACAGCUGGGAUGUACUGUGCUGGCAGAUACAUUACCGACAUAGGAGUAAGGAAGGACGUAGCAAAAGUUGAGGUGGAGAAAUUGUCAUCACACCCCGGUUUCCACCUUGUCGAAGACGAAGGAUCAGUUAACAAGCGGUCAGAAAAGCCGAAGUCCUUGCUCCCUAUGAAGAGGAAACGAGGAAGGUGAGUGUGAAACACAGCUUUGGGGUGGGUGGUUGGGUGGGGCGAACUACACUGCCCUUCAAUUGGUGCCGAAUUGUGGAUAAUUUGGGAUAUAGUAUAUGCUCCACUGUAAUAAGACUGGAUGGUAUAGAUAUCUGUCUUCAGAAUGUGCUCUAAUUGGGUUAGGCGCACGCGCACCCCUCACAUGGUCAAUUGUAACUCAUAAAUUUAAUCAUCAAAUCACUAUAUAAUGUAGAUUUUGUUCUA
Zea mays is the source of this 1891-nucleotide RNA transcript. It is a transcript of the gene named NC domain-containing protein-related, with no coding region annotated. The record is from RefSeq and is a predicted model, not a curated record. The transcript is spliced from 2 exons. Lineage: Eukaryota; Viridiplantae; Streptophyta; Magnoliopsida; Poales; Poaceae.